AAGGCUGGAAACAGUCCUGUCAAUAUAAGAGGACUUUCUCCGUGCUGUGCACCUAGGGUUGAGAGCAGGGGUGAAACAGGACCAACAACCCUGCUUUCUUGCUGGCUGUCACCUGAGGACCAUUCCCAGCUUUUAAAAUUAAUCUGCAAAAUUUAUAUAUAUAUAUCGGGUUUCUUGACUCAUGAUUCCAUUUCUUCAUCUUCAAAGCCAGAGAAUACGGGUGGAGUCCCUCUCAAGGGAGACCCAAGUGAAGAUACGAAGCUGGUACUUUUUGGAAAAAUGAGAAGAGUUGUUGUGGUCAGAGGUUUGAGAUAAUUGAUUUGGAGAGAGAAAACUGAGUUGUACAGAAAAACAUCAUAGAGACAACUGGUAAGAUUUUUUUUUUUUUCCUGAAAUACAUGCAUGCCCGUAUUUUCACCCCAAUUAGGUUAUCUCUCUGAUAGCAAACAUGUGCUUAAUAACUCCUGUGUUUUUCUUAUAGCAGGUUUCUGAGUGUGUGAAAAAUACUAAUAGAUAAUUGUUGAUUUUACAAUAAAAUUGAUUCAUUAUGAAUUGCUGUUUUUUGUACUGGCUAUACAAUUGCUUAUGUAUCAGUAUCAUAUUUUCAUUAAGGAAAUGA
This 619-nucleotide long non-coding RNA is filed under the name Papio anubis (olive baboon). RNAcentral's name for it is "lncRNA (ENSPANG00000049413.1)". Lineage: Eukaryota; Metazoa; Chordata; Mammalia; Primates; Cercopithecidae. The record is from RNAcentral.